Amphiprion ocellaris (clown anemonefish) is the source of this 1068-nucleotide long non-coding RNA. RefSeq lists it as uncharacterized. The transcript has 5 exons. NCBI's taxonomy places the organism in Eukaryota, Metazoa, Chordata, Actinopteri, Pomacentridae. The record is from RefSeq and is a predicted model, not a curated record.
GGGGAGCUCGCCACCGCUAUGCUUCAUUCGGACUGAAGCUGCGGAGGAAGCGUUGCAUAUUGUUUGGGUUCUUUGAGGAGAACACACCGCUCUGCUUUCAUCUAUGUCCUGUAGCUGCUCAUCUCAACUCAACUUCCUUUUCUAUGCUGUACUGAUUGUCACCAUGGAUUCUUAGAGCUGAGUAAAGGGAAACCACAGGUCUUCUGGGUACAGCCAAGAGAAGCUUUUUGUCAGCUUCAAUCAGCAGCAGCUUUCCAAGGGAGGUACAUCAGGACACAGAAAAUGGAAACUCCUGCAAACAGACAGCGAGAAGUGGAGCAGCAGAACAUUUUCCACAGACAGUUUUCCUGCCCGUUGGCUUGUUUUAACCAGUUUUCUACCUUCGGCUGAUUUUACCAGCAGACACUGAAAGGACUCUGAUAGUUCGAGUGAAAGUAGCAACUCCUUAAGGUCAGAGAUUGCAGCAUCUGAGGGCCUCUUCAAAAGAAGACGUAGUUGAUGAAGGCGUUCUGGGGCAGGACCAGAAAGACCACGACCAAGCAGCCUUCAGAUCUUAGGCAGCGUUUCCCUCAGGUGGGUGUCAACGGUGUUCACGGUCAGGUCUGUGGUAAUAAAAAAAUGUCAUAGUAUAGCAUGUUGCUUUAAAAACGUCAUAGAUGGCAUGUCGCUCAAAAAAUGUCAUAGUAUAGCUUUUGGUCCAACAGAUGUCAUAGUUUAGCAUGUCGUUCAAGAAAAUAUCAUAGUAUAGCAUGUCAGUCUAAAAACGUCGUAGUAUAGCCUUUGGUCCAAAAAAUGUCACAGCAUAGCAUGUCGUCCAAAAAAACUUCAUAAUAUAGCAUGUCGUCCAAAAAACAUCAUAGUAUAGCAUGUCGUCCAAAAAGCAUCAUAGUAUAGCAUGUCUCUUUAAAAUUGUCACAGUAUAGCAUGUCGUCCAAAAAACGUCAGAGUAUAGCCAUUGGUUUAAAAACGUCAUAGUGUAGCAUGUCGCUCUAAAAAUGUCAUAGUAUAGCAUGUCGCUCUAAAAACGUCAUAGUAUAGCAUGUCGCCCAAAAAAUGUCAUAGUAUAGC